RNAcentral lists this transfer RNA (68 nucleotides) under Marmota monax (woodchuck). RNAcentral's name for it is "tRNA.Val". Lineage: Eukaryota; Metazoa; Chordata; Mammalia; Rodentia; Sciuridae. The record is from RNAcentral.
GGAUUGUGGCUCAGCGGUAGAGCACUUGCCUUACACGCGCAAGACCUUGGGUUCAAUCCUCAGCACCA